ACUAGCUGUGCCCGGCCACGCGUUGCUGUGGAGUUGUCUGGUGGUGUUGGUGAGAAAUUUGAGUUAGUGGUGGUAUUGAAUGUCUGUUGUAUGGUUGUCUUUAUGUUUAGUUUGUAUUUGGUUUUUUGUGUACUGUGAAAGUGGUGAGAGUAGAGGGGGUCUUUGUCCCUGUGUAGUAUUGUAUAGUAUUUAUAUGUUGUCCAAGUGUUGUGAAUGCUUAGAUUGUNNNNNNNNNNNNNNNNNNNNNNNNNNNNNNNNNNNNNNNNNNNNNNNNNNNNNNNNNNNNNNNNNNNNNNNNNNNNNNNNNNNNNNNNNNNNNNNNNNNNUGUUAUUAUUAUGUUAUGUAUGUAUCAUGAUCAUCAUCUUCAUUAUCAUCAUUAUUAUUAUAUAGUGGGUGGAUGGCCAUCUUUCAGGAGUGGUUGGAUUGUGUUGUCUUGCAUGGUAGAAGGAGGUUGUACUGGAUGGCCUUUAGGGGUCUCUCCUAUCUCUGUGACUGUAGGAUUCUAUUAUUAUUUUUAUUGUGGAGAUUGUGGAGAUAUUGGAUGGCCAUCUGUCAGGAGUGUUUGGAUUGUGUCCUCCUGUACGGUAGAAGGAAGUUGUACUGGAUGAUCCUUAGGGGUGUCUGCAAACCUUAGGAUUGUAUGAUGUUGUUGUUGUUGUUGUUAUUAUUAUUAUUAUUAUUAUUAUUAUUAUUAUUAUUGUUGUUGUUAUUUUUAUUGAGCGGCUGGGUGGCCAUCUGUUGGGAGUGCUUGGAUUGUGUCCUGCAUGGCAGAUCGUGGGAGGUGUUAGCUGGCCCUGAUUGUUUAGUGUCUGGAAUUCCCCUGUUUUAAGAGUGUUGUUUUUUAUUUGGUGUUCUGAUUUUAAGCAUGUUAAAAUAUUAGGAGUCAGAUUGUGUUGAUUGUAAUGGUUCAUAGCAUAUAUUUAAAAUAAUGAGUAUUAAAAUGGGUUGGAUAUUCUAGAAGGUUGGAUAAGGGAGAGUGUAGUGGGGAUAAAUAAUAUAAAUAAAUAAAGUGUGUAUAUAUAUAUAUAUAUAGAGAGAGAGAGAGAGAGAGAGAGAGAGAGAGAGAGAGAGAGUAUAAUUGUAUAUCUUGUAGAGCCUCUGUGUGUCUUUUUGGAGUAGUGCUUCUAUGUGUCUUUGUGGAGUAGUGUAGAAUGACUGGUGGUCGGGUUUGUUUCUCUUUCUUUCUGUUGUGAGAGUGAAUAAUCCGGAUGAUGGGCGGGCGCUAGGACCCAUGGGACAGCUUUUUCCCAUUGCCUGCCUUUCCUCUAGCUAGCGAGCUGGAUUGUUCUGGUCUGGCCAUGAGGCUUCUCCCCCCCCCCCCGGGCAUGGCUCCCCGCGUCCGUGGUUCUCUCCUUUUAGUGAGGGAAAGUGGGUGCCGCCCAUUGUUGCUCUCGUGUUCAGGAGAAGCAGGAGGAGCAGGAAGAGUGCGGUUGACAUGCUGGUCAUGGAGAAGGCCAGAGGUUCUGCCGUAGGUGAGACACGUGGGGUGGGAGGCUGGGAGGGGAGAUGAGAGAGAGGUGUGUGCACAAGCGUAGAUGGUGCAUUGUGGGUUUGUGUGAUUUUCUGUCCGUGUGGAGGUGCGUGACGUGAUCUUUUGUUGUUUCAACCUUAAGGCAUGGAUGUUGUAUUUUGUGGUUAAAUUGCUAGGUAGGGGGGUGUUUAGUUUUGUUGUUUUGCUUGGCGCCGGGAUAUUCUAUUACCUAUAUAUAUAUGUGUGUGUGUGUGUGUGUGUUUAAUGGUUUUAAAUUGUAUUUUACGUUUACUGUUUUUAAUGAUUUUAUGUUAUGUUAUGAGGCAUUGAAUGUUUGCCUAGAUGUAUGAGGUAUAUCGCUCUGAGUCCCCUGAGGGGUGAGAAUAGCAGGUUAUAAAUGAAGUAAAUAAAUAAUAAAGAACCUUAAAAACUGUGUCAUAGACACCGAGAAUUGGGAAGCCCUGGCCCUUGAGCAUUCUAACUGGAGGUCAGCUGUUACCAACAGUGACAAGGAAUUCAAAGAGGCAUGAAUGGAGGGCGAAAGGGAGAAACAUUUCAAGAAGAAGGUGCGUCAAGCCAACCCUUGUUGGGAUUGCCUUCCAUCUGGAAAUCAAUGUCCUCGCUGCGAAAGAACAUGCAGAUCAAGAAUAGUCACUUACAGACCCACCGCUACACCAGAAAGGCAAUCAUACUCGGUCAUGAGUGAUAGCCUAUGAUGAUGACAUAUAUAAGAAAGUCUACUUGUCAUUGGUCAGUAGAUUAAAGCACAGUGGGUAAAAUGUAUGUCAUGCUCUUAAGAAUUUUGCCAUUUUUCUUUUCUUUUUGAGUUUAGGCAUAUAUAUCCUUAUCAAUAUUACCACAAAGUACAGGGGCGAGGCAAUACUUUGAUAAAUCAGUAUGGCUUGCUUGUUAUUUCUUAAAUGUCAGCAGUCAUGAGUUUAAUUUAUUUAUGAAAAAGAACAGAGAUGAUGAUGAUGAUGAUGAUGAUGAUGAUGAUGAUGAUGAUAGUAAUUUUAUUACAUUGAACAAUCAGAUAGACAUUUUGUUUUGUUCAGAGACUUUUAUUUUGUUUGGAGGCUGCAGUAGAAUAGGAUUAUUAAAUAUGACUUAAGGGCCAGGCUGUGGCACAGGAUGGUGAGCAGCCUGCUGCAAUAAAUCACUCUGACCAUGAGGUCAUGAGUUCGAGGCCAGCCCGUGGCGGGGUGAACACCCGUCAAUAAAAAAAUUAAAAACAUAGCCCCUGCUUUGUUGCUGACCUAGCAACCCAAAAGAUAGUUGUAUCUAUCAAGUAGGAAAUAAGGUGCCACUUAUAAAGUGGAGAGGUAAAUUUAACUAAUUUACGACGUUGGAAUGAGGAAGUGCCAACACAGUGGAUGAUGAAGCAGCUGCUCCCCCCUGUGGCCAAAAUCGAACAUCCCCUCAGGAGAAGGUUGAAUUGCCUCUGUCUCUGUCUCAGUUCUAUGUGUAUAUGGGCAUUGAAUGUUUGACCUAUAUGUAUAUAAUGUGAUCCACCCUGAGUCCCCUUCGGGGUGAGAAGGGCGGAAUAUAAAUACUGUAAAUAAAUAAAUAAAAGCUGGAAGUCAGUUAAAGUUGAAGGAAGGAUAGUAGUAAUAUUUUGAGUAAUCCAUGGUUUUAAGUAUGCAUAAUACAGCAUCAGUACUUAGAGCAGAAGCUCAAUAAAGAAAAAUGUAGAAUAGGAAUGGAAAUAAUAGUUACAAUACUUGAAAAUUGUUAAAAUAUGUUUCUUAAAGAUUGGGAUACUCUGAUAAGCCUGGAGUGAUGAGAAUCUUAGCAGUGUGGGCCAUAUUCUGCACAAAAAUUCCUCCCCCUGAAAAAAAGCAUUUGCUACAGAGAUAAUUCAGUGAGAAUUAGCUUUUCAGUUAAAAAAAUCUAUUGCAAAAAAAAGUGC
Anolis carolinensis (green anole) is the source of this 3381-nucleotide long non-coding RNA. NCBI's taxonomy places the organism in Eukaryota, Metazoa, Chordata, Lepidosauria, Squamata, Anolidae. The record is from Ensembl.